UAUUAGGUUGGUGCAAAAGUCAUUGCAGCUUUUGCCAUUAUUUUCAAUGGCAAAAGCUGCAAUGACUUUUGCACCAACCUAAUA
Molecule: microRNA precursor, 84 nt
Filed under: Pan troglodytes (chimpanzee)
Lineage: Eukaryota; Metazoa; Chordata; Mammalia; Primates; Hominidae
Also listed under: 1 other name
Description: mir-548 microRNA precursor family
Rfam family: mir-548 microRNA precursor family
Source: Rfam by way of RNAcentral